GCCCAAAUUGACAGCCGCAAGCCCAGAAAAAAGGCCCAACAAGGCAGCAGCCGAUGCCUUCGGUUCGGGCUUCACUGCUCCAGCCGGCAGCCGCCGCCGGUCGCCGUCCCCCCAAAACCGCGACGGCGCCUUGCCUGCCGCCCGGACGGCCGACCCGGACGCCACGACACGCACACCAUCGCUCAUGCCAAAGCUCUCGCGGUCUCGCGGCAGCAAGAGCGGCGGAGGCUGGAGCCCCGAGCCCGAAGGUGGCCAGCCCCCUCGCCGCCGGCUAGCCCCUGAAACCCCUCCCAUCCGCGGAGCACUGCCGCAUCGGCGCCGGCCGGAUUUUCUCCAACUAGUUUUGAACAGCAGCAAACAAAGAACCACCCAGAGGCUGAGGACAAAUCCAAUAGCCAUGCCAAGAUAAAGGGAUAUAUGUUCCAAAUCAACAUGAUUUCUAGUAGUAUUAUGUUAUCUCUGUCAUUCGAGUCAUGAUGAAGUGUCUGGUCCAGUUGAUUUGAAUGUGAUAUUUGCGUCCUCUUCAUGGAA
Long non-coding RNA from Oryza sativa Japonica Group (Japanese rice), 531 nucleotides. RefSeq lists it as uncharacterized. NCBI's taxonomy places the organism in Eukaryota, Viridiplantae, Streptophyta, Magnoliopsida, Poales, Poaceae. The record is from RefSeq and is a predicted model, not a curated record.